AUACGUAGGUGACAAGCGUUAUCCGGAUUUACUGGGCGUAAAGGGCGUGUAGGCGGUCUUGCAAGUCAGAAGUGAAAUUCCUGAGCUCAACUCGGGCGCUGCUUCUGAAACUGCAGGACUUGAGUGCUGGAGGGGAUAGCGGAAUUCCUAGUGGAGCGGUAAAAUGCGCAGAUAUUAGGAAGAACACCGGUGGCGAAGGCGGCUAUCUGGACAGUAACUGACGCUGAGGCGCGAAAGCGUGUGGAGCAAACAGGAUUAGAUACCCGGGUAGUCCACGCCGUAAACGAUGAAUACUAGGUGUAGGGGGUAUCGACUCCCUCUGUGCCGCAGUUAACACAAUAAGUAUUCCGCCUGGGGAGUACGGCCGCAAGGUUGAAACUCAAAGGAAUUGACGGGG
RNAcentral lists this ribosomal RNA (397 nucleotides) under uncultured bacterium. RNAcentral describes it as "partial 16S ribosomal RNA". It matches the Rfam family "Bacterial small subunit ribosomal RNA", at positions 523 to 918 of the family's 1533-position model. The record is from RNAcentral.